GGGGAAUAUUGGACAAUGGGCGCAAGCCUGAUCCAGCCAUGCCGCGUGGGUGAAGAAGGCCUUCGGGUUGUAAAGCCCUUUUGUUGGGAAAGAAAAGCAGCCGGCCAAUACCCGGUUGUUCUGACGGUACCCAAAGAAUAAGCACCGGCUAACUUCGUGCCAGCAGCCGCGGUAAUACGAAGGGUGCAAGCGUUACUCGGAAUUACUGGGCGUAAAGCGUGCGUAGGUGGUGGUUUAAGUCCGUUGUGAAAGCCCUGGGCUCAACCUGGGAAACGCAGUGGAUAACGGGAUCACUGAGUGGGGGAGGGGGUAGGUGGAUUUCCCGUGUAGGAGUGAAAAGGCAAGAGAUUGGGAGGAAACUUCGUGGGGAAGGGGAACUGCUGGGGCAAACAUGAACACGAGGCCACAAAGGCUUGGGAGCAAACA
This 426-nucleotide ribosomal RNA is filed under the name uncultured Lysobacteraceae bacterium. Its description in RNAcentral is "bacterial SSU rRNA". It matches the Rfam family "Bacterial small subunit ribosomal RNA", at positions 356 to 774 of the family's 1533-position model. Lineage: Bacteria; Pseudomonadati; Pseudomonadota; Gammaproteobacteria; Lysobacterales; Lysobacteraceae. The record is from RNAcentral.